GGGUGAGUAACACGUGGGCAAUCUGCCCUUCACUCUGGGACAAGCCCUGGAAACGGGGUCUAAUACCGGAUAUGACACACGACCGCAUGGUCUGUGUGUGGAAAGCUCCGGCGGUGAAGGAUGAGCCCGCGGCCUAUCAGCUUGUUGGUGGGGUGAUGGCCUACCAAGGCGACGACGGGUAGCCGGCCUGAGAGGGCGACCGGCCACACUGGGACUGAGACACGGCCCAGACUCAUACGGGAGGCAGCAGUGGGGAAUAUUGCACAAUGGGCGAAAGCCUGAUGCAGCGACGCCGCGUGAGGGAUGACGGCCUUCGGGUUGUAAACCUCUUUCAGCAGGGAAGAAGCGAAAGUGACGGUACCUGCAGAAGAAGCGCCGGCUAACUACGUGCCAGCAGCCGCGGUAAUACGUAGGGCGCAAGCGUUGUCCGGAAUUAUUGGGCGUAAAGAGCUCGUAGGCGGCUUGUCACGUCGGAUGUGAAAGCCCGGGGCUUAACCCCGGGUCUGCAUUCGAUACGGGCAGGCUAGAGUUCGGUAGGGGAGAUCGGAAUUCCUGGUGUAGCGGUGAAAUGCGCAGAUAUCAGGAGGAACACCGGUGGCGAAGGCGGAUCUCUGGGCCGAUACUGACGCUGAGGAGCGAAAGCGUGGGGA
Molecule: ribosomal RNA, 650 nt
Filed under: uncultured bacterium
Lineage: Bacteria
Description: bacterial SSU rRNA
Rfam family: Bacterial small subunit ribosomal RNA
Source: RNAcentral